Molecule: ribosomal RNA, 1151 nt
Filed under: uncultured bacterium
Lineage: Bacteria
Description: bacterial SSU rRNA
Rfam family: Bacterial small subunit ribosomal RNA
Source: RNAcentral
UCCGAUAAGCCUAGUUGGGUGGGGGUAAAGGGCCCCCAAAGGCUUCAAUCAGUAGCUGUUCUUGAGAGGACGACCAGCACCACUGGAACUGAGGACACCGGUCCAGACUCCUACGGGAGGCAGCAGUGGGGGAAUUUUGGACAUGGGCGCAGCCUGAUCCAGCCAUCCGCGUGAGUGAAGAAGGCCUUCGGGUGUAAAGCUCUUUCGCAAGGGAAGAAAAGAUUACGCUCUAACAUAGCGUGAUUAUGACGGUACCUUGAUAAGAAGCACCGGCUAACUACGUGCCAGCAGCCGCGGUAAUACGUAGGGUGCGAGCGUUAAUCGGAAUUACUGGGCGUAAAGCGUGCGCAGGCUGUUUUGUAAGUCAGAUGUGAAAUCCCUGAGCUCAACUUAGGAACUGCGUUUGAAACUACAAGACUAGAAUAUGUCAGAGGGGGGUAGAAUUCCACGUGUAGCAGUGAAAUGCGUAGAGAUGUGGAGGAAUACCAAUGGCGAAGGCAGCCCCCUGGGAUAAUAUUGACGCUCAUGCACGAAAGCGUGGGGAGCAAACAGGAUUAGAUACCCUGGUAGUCCACGCCCUAAACGAUGUCUACUAGUUGUUGGUGGAGUAAAAUCCAUGAGUAACGCAGCUAACGCGUAAAGUAGACCGCCUGGGGAGUACGAUCGCAAGAUUAAAACUCAAAUGAAUUGACGGGGGCCCGCACAAGCGGUGGAUUAUGUGGAUUAAUUCGAUGCAACGCGAAAAACCUUACCUGGCCUUGACAUGUACGGAACUUUCCAGAGAUGGAUUGGUGCUCGAAAGAGAGCCGUAACACAGGUGCUGCAUGGCUGUCGUCAGCUCGUGUCGUGAGAUGUUGGGUUAAGUCCCGCAACGAGCGCAACCCUUGCCAAUAAUUGCUAUCAUUUAGUUGGGCACUUUAUUGGGACUGCCGGUGACAAACCGGAGGAAGGUGGGGAUGACGUCAAGUCCUCAUGGCCCUUAUGGCCAGGGCUUCACACGUAAUACAAUGGUCGGUACAGAGGGUCGCCAACCCGCGAGGGGGAGCUAAUCCCAGAAAGCCGAUCGUAGUCCGGAUUGCAGGCUGCAACUCGCCUGCAUGAAGUCGGAAUCGCUAGUAAUCGCGGAUCAGCAUCGCGUUCUAUGCACCAGA